CCUUUGAUAGCUCAAGUGGUAGGGUGGAGGACUGUAGAUCCUUAGGUCACUGGUUCAAUUCCAGCUCGAAGGA
RNAcentral lists this transfer RNA (73 nucleotides) under Monodelphis domestica (gray short-tailed opossum). RNAcentral's name for it is "tRNA-Tyr (GTA) (tRNA-Tyr-GTA-6-1)". It matches the Rfam family "tRNA". Rfam says of the family: Transfer RNA (tRNA) molecules are approximately 80 nucleotides in length. Their secondary structure includes four short double-helical elements and three loops (D, anti-codon, and T loops). Further hydrogen bonds mediate the characteristic L-shaped molecular structure. tRNAs have two regions of fundamental functional importance: the anti-codon, which is responsible for specific mRNA codon recognition, and the 3' end, to which the tRNAs corresponding amino acid is attached (by aminoacyl-tRNA synthetases). tRNAs cope with the degeneracy of the genetic code in two manners: having more than one tRNA (with a specific anti-codon) for a particular amino acid; and 'wobble' base-pairing, i.e. permitting non-standard base-pairing at the 3rd anti-codon position. The record is from RNAcentral. Lineage: Eukaryota; Metazoa; Chordata; Mammalia; Didelphimorphia; Didelphidae.